Molecule: long non-coding RNA, 313 nt
Organism: Ictalurus punctatus (channel catfish)
Lineage: Eukaryota; Metazoa; Chordata; Actinopteri; Siluriformes; Ictaluridae
Source: Ensembl
GUCUCCCCCCCCCCCUCCUGCAGUGGUAAGUAGAGAACAGGGGCAUGAGUCCAGUGCUGUCCAGCCCAGAAGUUGUUCACAAUCCUCUUCUGGUCUUCUUUGAUCAAUGUCUCUGGAGGUUCGAGAGCAGUGAAACGAUGCCUCAGCAUGGAGACAAUCAGGUUGUUGACACCCAGUACUCUAUAAGACAACCGGGGCUAAAUGUGUGAGGGAGAGAGAGUGAGUGAGGGUGUGUGUGUGUGUGUGUGUGUGUGUGUGUGUGUGUGUGUGUGUGUGUGUGGGAGAGAGUGUGUGUGAGAGGGGGAGAGAGUGU